AAAAGUGAAAGACGGUCUUGCUGUCACUUAUAGAUGGAUCCGCGCUGCAUUAGCUAGUUGGUAAGGUAACGGCUUACCAAGGCAACGAUGCAUAGCCGACCUGAGAGGGUGAUCGGCCACACUGGAACUGAGACACGGUCCAGACUCCUACGGGAGGCAGCAGUAGGGAAUCUUCCGCAAUGGGCGAAAGCCUGACGGAGCAACGCCGCGUGAGUGAUGAAGGUCUUCGGAUCGUAAAACUCUGUUAUUAGGGAAGAACAUAUGUGUAAGUAACUGUGCACAUCUUGACGGUACCUAAUCAGAAAGCCACGGCUAACUACGUGCCAGCAGCCGCGGUAAUACGUAGGUGGCAAGCGUUAUCCGGAAUUAUUGGGCGUAAAGCGCGCGUAGGCGGUUUUUUAAGUCUGAUGUGAAAGCCCACGGCUCAACCGUGGAGGGUCAUUGGAAACUGGAAAACUUGAGUGCAGAAGAGGAAAGUGGAAUUCCAUGUGUAGCGGUGAAAUGCGCAGAGAUAUGGAGGAACACCAGUGGCGAAGGC
RNAcentral lists this ribosomal RNA (538 nucleotides) under Staphylococcus aureus. RNAcentral's name for it is "bacterial SSU rRNA". It matches the Rfam family "Bacterial small subunit ribosomal RNA", at positions 196 to 722 of the family's 1533-position model. Lineage: Bacteria; Bacillati; Bacillota; Bacilli; Caryophanales; Staphylococcaceae. The record is from RNAcentral.